Molecule: long non-coding RNA, 505 nt
Organism: Malaclemys terrapin pileata
Lineage: Eukaryota; Metazoa; Chordata; Testudines; Emydidae
Exons: 3
Source: RefSeq, a predicted model, not a curated record
CCAUGUAUUUGGUGUUUGUUAUUAGUGCUUCAACCUGAGGGGCGUGGCAGCACCCCUAGUUCCAGCACCACUGGAGGUAGGUUUACCCUCAUAACAAAUGUUAGCUAGAUGCUUAGAGGCCAUCGUGGGCAGGGGAGGUCUAUCCGUCCAAAGAGAGAGACAGCUGAGAUAAGGCACUGUGAUAAAAAGCCCCAGUAAAAACUGUCAUUCAGCAAACUUCUGAGAAAGAUCACACCAGGAUAAAGUAGCUGCGGUUUUCUUGCCUGGUUGCAGAAGGCAGUGGCCACCAUGAAGCAGCUCAUCUCCCACCUUCUGGGCUUUUGCUGGCUCGUCUGCUUCAAGGGGACUCAAUGUUUCACCAGCGAUGUCGACAGAUGUCAGGAUUCGACUACUUGUCCUGCGUUUGCAAAAUGUGAAAAUGUUCCUGGGGGCUACCACUGCACCUGCAAACGCGGGUUUGCAUCUACUUCUGGGGAGCAAAACUUCACUGAUCCAACAGUGAAGU